Long non-coding RNA from Ictalurus punctatus (channel catfish), 506 nucleotides. RefSeq lists it as uncharacterized. NCBI's taxonomy places the organism in Eukaryota, Metazoa, Chordata, Actinopteri, Siluriformes, Ictaluridae. The record is from RefSeq and is a predicted model, not a curated record. The transcript has 3 exons.
UCUCAGUUUAAUGAGACGUGUGGAGUUAGGUGAAUUAGCAUCGCACCCAAAAUAUGCCUUCAGAAUUUGUGAAGUGAAACUUUUAAUAAGGGUGAAAACGAGGUUUUGAAAAUGAGUCAGAGGAAGAGUCCAACAAAUGAUGCUAUUUUUCACAUUACCACCAGUCGUGAUAAAGCAGGGCUUGAUGUCAAAUACAUUGAUGCAUUUAAAGGCAGGGGAGUGUUUACCAUGACGCACUUCACUAAAGGAGAGUUCGUGCUAGAAUACAGAGGAGAGCUCAUGAAAUCUCUGGAAAGUAACAGAAGACACCGAAUUUACCACAACAACUUGAAAGGAUUUAUGUUCGACUUCAUCUGGCACGAUAAAUUCUGGACGUGAGUACUCCUAUAUAUUUCUUUAUCCAUUUCGGUAGUGUAUGCGGUAUGAGCUGCGGGGGUUUUAAACGCACAGUUAAAGUUUUAGCUGUGAAAAAAAGUUUUCCCUCGCCUCGCUUCACUAAGACAUGG